AUACGUAUGGUGCAAGCGUUGUUCGGAAUCACUGGGCGUAAAGCGCGCGCAGGCGGAUAAUUAAGUCGGAUGUGAAAUUUCCGGGCUCAACCCGGAGGCUGCAUCUGAAACUAGUUUUCUAGAGUCUCGGAGAGGUAGGCGGAAUUCUCGGUGUAGCGGUGAAAUGCGUAGAUAUCGAGAGGAACACCAAUGGCGAAGGCAGCCUACUGGACGAUGACUGACGCUCAGGCACGAAAGCGUGGGGAGCAAACAGGAUUAGAAACCCUAGUAGUCC
This 274-nucleotide ribosomal RNA is filed under the name uncultured bacterium. Its description in RNAcentral is "partial 16S ribosomal RNA". It matches the Rfam family "Bacterial small subunit ribosomal RNA", at positions 523 to 796 of the family's 1533-position model. The record is from RNAcentral.